AGUAUCUAACAGAGCUAACAGCUGGAUAUACAGCUCUAUCCUGUACCAGUUCCAAAUUCUUACAUUAUAAACCACACAGCUAUCAGUUUUACUGUCACUGGGAUUUCAGAUAGAUGCAUAUAUCACACAGACACUAGAGCGAUACUCUUGACAAAUGAAUGAGCCUUUUUUUUUUUUCUUUUUCUUUUUUUUCUUUAAUUUGUUCAUAGACAAUCCCUGCACACAGAUGGGGAGAACAUAUUCUAGGUAAGGUUGUUGGAACAUAUCAGCUCCUAUUUUUCCAUGUGCAUUGCUUGCUUUUCUUUUGAUUGCUGUUUUUUCUUUCCCUUCUUUAUGAAUGCUUGUUGCUAUUUUCAACUGCUUGUUGCAGUUAUUCUGAAUUUAUUUGUUACAGAUUCUAUCCAAACAUGGUUACUAGCAAGCAGUCCAUUGCCUACUAUAUGUAAGGUAAUUGGGGCACAUUUUGAAAAUAUGCUGGGUUACUUAGCUUUUUUAGGAUGUGCUUAGAUACCUACACAUUUUUUUUUUUCUGUGUUGAGAAACUGCAGUUCCUACUGAAGUUUAUGAAUUUUGCCUAAUCAGCAUCUCUAAAAACCGGACUUUAAUGAACAUUUUAUUGAUUUUUUAACAAUCUACAUGCUCAGACAGUAGUACGAAAUUCUAAUGACUUUAGAUUUCUGGCCAUUUCUGUUUGCUCAGAAAAAAAAUAACAGCAAGCAGAAGAAGUGAUAAGGAAGUUGUUGCUUUUAAUGUUAAUGAAUACUCUACAUCUCUUUUAAUACUAAUUAUGUUUCAUUCCUGAAAUAACAUUUCUUUUUCAUACAUUUUCCAAACAAGAUAACAUGUAAGAAAUUAAAUGUGAUUUUUUUUUUUAACUUUGCUUUCCAGUCAGAAUUACUAACUGACCCUAUGUCUUUGUUGCCAAGUACAACAGUGCUUCCUUCUUGCUGUCACCUGCUCUCUUUCAGGAAAAGGCAGAGGAAAUAGGUGUUUCCGGCAGCAUAUCUUGCCAGUCUCAAUUACACCAAAGGCACUGAGUUUAUACCAACAGAGGUGUAUGUAAAACCAAGGGAGCAAGUGCCUUAUUUUAAAAGAAAUUCUUCCGAAUAUCAGCACAGUUUGAAUUUAGCCUCAUUGUGUUAAAGUUCAUUUCAAAUAAUGUGGAAGAAUAGGUGUCAUUGUGGAUGUAGAAGGCAUGUGCAUAUCAUAACGUUGAAUUUUCCAACCACUGCAAGGUAAAAAUUCACAAUUAAUCAAAAAAAAGUAUGAAUUAAUACACCUGAAUCCAGAUAAGUAUUUUGAACAUCUCAAAAUAUGAAUAUACUGGCUUUUAUUAUCCCAUGCCUAGCUGUAGUAAGAUUUGAUUCCACAGAUCAUUGAAUUCUUUUCACUUGCAAUGCAAUCAGCAGAUAGCACUUGGUUGUAAUCCCUCAUUUUUACCAUGUUCACGAUAGUCAGACAAAUGACUUGCAAUGGAUGUCUGUUUCCAGAAUGAAAACAAAAUGGAUAAAGAAAACAAACAAACACACACACACAAAAACAACAACAACUACAAAAAUCCAAAAAACCCACAGCCAUCCAUUUUAGUGACUAUUGCUCAUAUCUAGACAAUAAAAGAAUCAGGCUUAAGUAUCAGACUUAAAGCUGUCAAGUUACUAGCCAAAAGAGAUAUUAGCCUUUCACAUAAUCUAAUGUAUACAUUUAGGCAGUUUCAUAGUUUCCUCUGUUUCUACAGUUUCUUUCUCAUUUGGGAUCUCUUCCAGCUGCGUCACAGAGACCCAGGCUCUUUAUUUGGCUGUAAAGAUUCUGCAGCAGCACAGCCUGUGCUGUGUUCAGCCUCACAAUGCUUGUGUCAGUCCGGGUGAUCUAGAAAUAAAAAGCUCUGAAGCUCAAAGGUAUAGAAUACUUUUAAAGCCCAUAAAUUGGUUGUAGGAAAGAGCUCAAGAAGGUAUUAUUAGUUAUAAGUUUGAAAGCCUCCCUGCUCAUCAUUUUCAAACCAACAUAAACAUGAAUUCUGCCUUAUUUCUCAGCAUUAUGAAACUUUAACAGCUCUGAACUGUAAAAAUAACUAAACCCAUCUUCUCUUUCCUUCUCCAGAGUACCUUCAAAUCCUUUCAUUCAUUUUCUACACUCUAUCGCAGACAUAUUUUUAUAUUUCUUAGUCAUUUCUUCAUCUCAGCUCUGCAGAUAAAAGAAAUGAUGCAAUUACUUAAAGAAGAAGAUUUCUAAUAAAAAUUUAUAAAGGAAUGUUAAGUAGCUCCCACUUGCAUCUCUUUUUUCCUUUCUUUUUAUUUUUUCCUUCUCUGCAGUUGGUCAUGAAAUAAAUAUUACCACUGACAUGAGUUCAUUGCUUUUUGUUUUCUGUUUUUUUUUUUGUGUUUUUUUUUAAAUGUGAAUAUAAGCUGAGCAAGUGAAAGAAAGAUUUUAUAUUGUUUUCUGCAAAAAAACAGCAGUGAAUAAGAUGUGCUCAUUGUAACUGGCCAGAGUUUUCCUCAGAUUAGUCUAUUGGAGCAGAUGAUGGAGCUCUCUAAAAGCAGACAGUAGAGGUUUGGUCCCAGAACUCCCAGGAGAAUGGAAAUGUUGAUGGGAAAGGCUGCUCUAUCCCAGGCAGCUGUGCUCCCCUUCUCCUGUCCAUGCCUGCACCGGAGAGGGUUUUGGAAAAUAUUCUUCCAUCAGGAGAAGAGUCUAUGCAAAAAUAAAUGCAGUCUUUAGUUUCAAACUGCAUUAACAUCUGGAUACAUCCAAGCAUGACUGCGGAAUGGAUACUGCAUGUUUCUUGGCACUACAUUUUCCCAUUCCCUGGCUUUUUCUCCUUCACAGUGCUCACUAUUCCAUUGAUGUACAGGUAAACACAGUUACAGUUUGUCUGCCCUGUUUGGACUUUUCUACCAGCAUUUAGUAGUAAGAAAUGUGCAUUCUGUGUUAACAUGAGUCAAUGGACCUGAACAUUUUGUUGAGUUGUUCUCUCUUUCUGUGGUAGAUUUCUAUCCAGAUGUCUGUGCAACAGAAUGGUUUUCUUGCUUUAUUCUUUGUUUGUUUUUAACACUGUUCUUCUGCAAGGCUAGCAAAAUAAUGAGGAAGGGCUUACUACUUGAUGUGCCAUACAUGCUGGCCAAAUUUAUUUAUUCUCCUCUAAUGACAUAUUAUGAUUUUGAAUUAUUAUUAUUAUUAUUUUAUUAUGAUUAUGAAUGUUUUUAAUUUACAUUUCAUAUGAAUGCAGUCUUGUAUUAUUUUAAUUUAUUAAUUUAUAAAGCUAUUGUUGUUGUCAAGAGAGCAUGAAAUCAUUUCAUAAAUAACAUAUUUUUGUCAGUCAUUUUCCACAUUAUCCAAAACAAUUUCAGAAUACUAAGGAAGCGAUGCAACUUCUAGACAGUUGUUUUGCACUAGUUGGCAGUUUUACUUACCACUUGACUUAAAGUUUUACUGCUAAAUCUAAAUUUUGGGAAUGGCUCUGCAAUGAAAAAUAGAAUAACUGGUGGAAAUAAUCUAGAAAUAAGCUUAAAAACAUUUUGAUCAGGUAGAAUACCUCAUGUACCAUGAGUUUGAUCACUUGUUGUGUCCUCUUAUUAUGAAGCAUAAUUCCUGUUUUAAGCCAAACUCAGAAACUUUCGGAGCUUUUCAAAACUUGCUAUGAAAUUUAACUCAGUUGCUUCAUAACCUUUGUGACAAAAAACAGUCCAGUGGACUUUGUCCUCUGCCAUCACUUCCCUGAGAAACUAAGUCCUGACAUUUUCAGUGCUUGUAGAGGAAGCCUGUGGAGAUUUAUUCUGUGUCUAAGGCUUUUCUGUCUUCCAUCCAGCAUCUCUGCUUUUUUUUUUUUUUUUUUUUUCCACCUAAAAUAUAUUUCCCUUAUUUGUCAGGCUCUAGAGAGUUCAAUGUGUUUGAUCACCUUUUGAAAAUGAAGAAAAGUACUUUUUGAAAUUUUCUAUUAAAAAAUAUGAAUUCUCAUUCCAAGAAAAUUGUCAAUGUUCUAAUUUAUUCCAGUUAAGAAAAAAUAUAUAUUUUUUUUCAAGUUCAUAGAAUAUCUUGAGUUGGAAGGGACGCAACAAGAAUCAUAAGUCCAACCCUUGACUCCACACAGCACCACCCAAAAUCCAAAUCUUGUGUCUGAGAGCAAAGUCCAAACGCUCCUCGAACUCCGGAACUCGGAGCCGUGCCCACUGACCUGGGCAGCCUGUCCCAUGCCCUCUGCCCUCUGGUGCAGAGCCUUGCCCUAACUCCCAGCUGACCCUCCCUUUCUCUUCCUCUCUGCAGUUUAACAGACCUACAUUUCUUACUUUUAUGUAAUAAAGAAAGCACAUUUAUAACAUGAUUAAUUUCUACCGUUUUGUUUGAAGAACAGUUAUUUUCCACAAUAAGUACGUAUUGCAGACAGAGGAAAAUGAUUCUAAGAGAAAAGAUGCAGAACCAAUAGCCAUCAUACACAACAGCUCAGAGAGAAUCCUAAGAGACAGAAGGUUAAGGCAUAGAAUGUAAUGAAUUCUCUCAUAGACAGUUUUGAGUAGGCUGCAAUGAGGUGUUGUAUAAUGUAGCUGUAAAUACUGGGGUGGGUGAUUGAAAUUCCUGCUGUAAGUGCUUUAUAUAGAAAUGUUUAGUUACUUAUCAGCAGAAUUAAAAAGAUUUGGGGUUUUUUUUUGGUGGCUUCUGAAAUAAAAAACAGCUGCCGAUGUUCCGGGAACUGCUUUCCACCAGCCUGGUUGCAACUACUGACUCAGCUUUGCAGGCUUGGAACUUUGUGAAUCCUCAAGGGCACGCAAAAUUUAAAUUUACUUGUUAUAAACAUUACGCACUUGAGACGCAUGUAGAUAAUAUGCUGUAAGGAGUGUGUAGAUAAUAUGUUUUUCCAUUUGCAAUUCAAGAUCUUGUAAAAUUGUGGUGGAACGUGUAUUUUAGUGAGUGUAAUCUGCAUGUACCUUCCCAAAAAGUAUGCUCACAAACUGCUCUAGGUGCUUUUAUAUGUUGUCACACUCAUAAAUUAAAUGCAAUAAGUUGAGCACAUAUCUGGGGUUAUUUUCUAUAUUCUACUCAUUGCUGUACAGUCAGCAUUCUGCACAGAUGCACCCUGCUGUGAGACUGCACCUCACUGCAAUGAGAUGGGGAAUGUUUGGCUGUGUGUACAGUAUAGCAAAUAGUACCUGUAUGUCCUACUUCAAUUAACAUGGUAGACGAGUGAUUCUGCUGGUAGUCCUACUGAACUGCCACCGGAAUAACUGUCAUGGAUAGGUCUUAUCACACAUGUGAAUUCACGAAUCAGUUAGAAAAUGUAGGACUUCACUUGAGCUGGGGACUCUGAGGAAGAUUGUCCAUGAUCAAAAACAGUAGGUGCUUAAUUAAUUUAAUCUGGCAAAAGUCCUAUGCACACUUCACUUGUUGCUGAGUGCACUUAGUUUUUUCUGCAUUCCAGCCCAUGCUUUCUAUAGAGGAAUAAUCAUAGUUUGCUUCAUGUUUUAAAGGAAGGAAUGAAAUAUUGCUCUGAGAAGAAAGUGCAAGAUAAAGACUUUUUCACUUCUUAAUACAGAUACUACAAGCAUCAUCAUCAGCUCUUUCAGUCCUUUGCUGUCAGUGUCCUAGUAUUUAAAGAGCAACAGCCAUGUAAAUAAAUCAUCUUGACCUUUUCUAGAUGCUAAAGACAAAAAUAAAAGAGAGGGUGUUCUGGGAAGCUGCUGCAACACUGCUGUUGGUAGCAGCACCUUAUGUCUUUGUAAAGGAACCACGGUCCAUGGAGCUUGAAGAAUUUUACACCUGUGCAGAUCAUAAUGCAAAACUCAUCAUUUCCUAUGGGCUGUUCUUCUAUAGCUAAGCUGGAAGCAUGAUCCUAGUGAGAUGUUCCCAAAAUUGAUUUGCCUCAAGGCAAUUGUUUUUAAGCAAGGAGACCAUAUAAAGGAAGGGAGGACAGAUCAUGCUGUCCUAAGAAGAAAGACUGAAGUAAUUUUCAAAUUAUACAACUAUGUCUAGUGAUGACACUAAUGGGCUCCUUAGAAAUGCAAAUAGCAUCUCAGUGAUUAGCUUGUGUUAUUGACAGACUAGUUCUGAAUUCAAAAAUAUAGCAUACUCCAACUGACUCCUUCACAUAUUCUCACAAUACAUGUUUUGAAGUUUCAAGUAAUAAGGGAAGAUGAGAUAGUGAUUAUAACAGGGUUUGCAGGGUUUGUCUGGUUGGAAACAGAGACAAUCUUCCAUAUUUUCCAAAUGGAACUGUGAUUAUAGGAAUAAUGUUAGAAAGGUUUAAAAACGAUUAAGUUUCUAGGCAGUCUUAUAGAUUUCUUGUUUAUUGAAUAUUGCCUAUGAAAAAAUGUCAUUGAAAAGUGAAGUUUGCUGUUGUCAUGCCGAAAAAUGCUAUUCUAUUUGCUGUCAGAUUGCAUUGUAUGCAUUGUGCAUCCUUUAGCAGCACUUAGACAAGCUGACACAAAAUACAAAGAUGAUCCAAUUACAUUUUCUGCAAGUGCAUCUCAUUGUGCUAAUGCCUACAAAUUAAGGGUGUCUAUCACCCCUUACAUGAGACAGAACACAGAUAACAUUUUAAAUCUCAUGCAUUUUAUAGUGCACACCACUUAAAUACUGAAGCAGCCCUAAUCGUAAACAGUUGACAUGCAGCUCAUAAACUGUGCCUAGUCAAUACUGAAAAUGCAGCCAUGUAGUGCGUACAGAAAUGAUUCCUCCUUACUGUUAUUUAUUAGUGGUAGUAUUAUUUACUUGUGGCAAUUUGUGUCUGGUAAUUUACUUACCAUAGACAGUUUAAAUGUACAGCAUUAAUGCUGAUGUACUUCCAGAGCAAUCAGUGUAUAUUAUCCUUUUUUUUUUUUUUUUUUCCUGAAACUGUCUUGCUAUAGGUAGAAAAUCUUGGAAAAUCCAAUGCAUCUGUUCAGGAAUCAAGCUACUGAAGUACACUCAUUUGGAAGGGUGCUGUCUGUUAGUAUUUCACAGAUUUGUAUGAAACGUGAGAUCCAUGAAGAGUAAAAAAACUCAUCCUGACCUUGCAAAUAGUCAUUGGGUAGGGUGGCAAAAUCUAACCCUACAAAUAGAGCUUCAUUAGGCACAGAAUUUCAGUUGAAACCUUGGAUCCAAUGUGGGAUUUCGCUCAAACACAUUCACUCUGUGGGAAAAAGCAAGAUAUGAUGUGUUUUGGAGGAAAAAAAGUGCUUUUGCUCCCAGCUUGUACCUCAUUGCUGAGUGUUGUCUACUUGUUUCUUGUGGAGGUUAUCAUACUGAGUAUCUCCUAUGGCUACUCCCACUGAGCUGAUGGGGACUUUGCUUUGACAGCACCACUGGGACUGAGACACCAAGUCCAAUACAACUAUCUCUGUAACGUCUUGAGAUGAGUAUCACUGGAGUUUGCAAGAUCUGCUGUGCUCAUGGUGUUGAUCACAACUGUGAUGUCAGGUUGGAGACCAUCAUGUCUCUGAGAGGCCCAUCCAACCACCUGGAAAGCCAUUUGUUUGAGCAUAGGAAAGUGUGGGUUCCUUUUCUUCCAGAGGCUUUCACAGUAGAGCCGUGGGUCCCAGCAAUCCUAGAGGCCAGACCAGGGACAUUACUUCCACUACAUGGCCAAGAACCUGCAGAUCAUCUGGAGCUUAAAAGCAAACCAAUAAUUGUAACAUAUGGGUGAAAGCUUUUUUGAGCCAGUGUGCAGCAAGUAGAAAACUGUAGACUGCUAAUAUCUCCAGUGAAUUUGAUCUCAAGAGCUGAUGGCCAACAUAUGUAUCAUCUAGCAACAAAAGGCUGAAAAGUAAUAACAUUUAAGCCAAGGAAACCCUACAUGACAAAUGCACAGUGGAAAUGAAAAGAAAAAGAAGAUAAAAUAAAAGUCAAGGCUACCUACACCAAAUCACGUAGUGAAAGUUAGACGAUGAACCGUAAAUGAAUGAAGGGAAGUGGAAAGCACUGAAUAGUGAAAAUAUCCAGCUUUUCACAGCUGAGACAUUAUUUGUGAUGAAAUUGGCAUUUAAAAUAAGGCCAAGGUUCAUAAGUCCUCAAAAUUAACAUGCAUUUGAAGACUGCAUCUGAUAAGGCAUGAAAGAAAAACAAAUAAACAUUUACAGAACUUUCUUGCUUUUUUGAUUGCUAGCUUUCUUGUACUACUCUCAGUCUAUAAAUGACACUAUUGAUGCACUCUCAGGUGAAUCAAGAUUGAGAGUGAAUAUCCACAUCCACUGUCUCACUUCCCUAACCUCUGUCACAGGCAGCUCCCUGCUACUGAGACAACAGUGUAUGUGGUUCAUUGUGUCUGUUUUCUUCAGAUACUUUACAAAUUAUAUUACUCAAAUAACCUGAGUUGUUUUAAAAUAUAAAAAUGGUUGUUAUAUGGUCAAGUGAGAGACUGAAAUUAUUUGAACAAUACAUUAAUCUUCUUUGUUUUACUCUCUCAAUUUCAUUCUUCUUUUCUACUUUCCCAUGGUUUUUUUUGUUUGUUUGUUUUGUUGGUUUUUUUUUGUUGUUUGUUUAUUUUCCUGGGUUAUUUUCUAUUAUACAUUUCUGUUUUUUUUUUCUAUUUCUUUCCUCUUCAAGGCUUUUAUACAGUGGAUACACAGGGAUUUAAGAUGUUAAAUGUGAAAGUGCAACAAAAUUCAACUGCAUUUUGAAAUCUGAUAAAUGAAAAAUGGGCAUGGUAUCAAAUUUAAUCACAUUUGUAUUCAUGUGUUGUUGAGAGCAGACACUGAUUUAUGAUCUAUCAACAGUCACCAGAUUCUGUGACUGCUUUAUACAAAUACAAGUGGAUAGAUGGAUAGACAGAUAGAUAGACAGCAAAAUAAUGUUGCAAAUUACAAGGCAUCAGACCUGUUUAUAAAAAAAUAGCUCAUCCAAUUCAUUAAAAAAAAGAAAAAAAAAGAAAAAGCUCUGGAGACUUUUGUCAGAGCAAAUCUCUGGGAAAUCUUUUACUAUAUGGAAAGCUCUCAGAAAACUAAAACACUCUGUUAUUUUUCUGUGUUCAAAUGUUAUUUCUCCAAAAGUACAGUUAGACAAUCCCACUUUGCACAUGGCAUGUUCUACAUAACUGACUGGAAUGAGAGGUUUCAUGCUAAUAUUGUAUAUCAAAGCAUCGCACAAAAGCAUGACAUUAAAAAUAAUCCCUUCCUCUAAUUCAUACACAGACUUUGGCAGUGCAUGAUCAUUAAGAAAACAAGUAAAGCAAGAACAUGAGUGAUGGAGUGAGGAAGAACCUGAGCAGGUGUGAAAAGAUAAAAAAAUAAUAAUUUACAUAGUACUGAAAAAAAC
Molecule: long non-coding RNA, 9213 nt
Filed under: Gallus gallus (chicken)
Lineage: Eukaryota; Metazoa; Chordata; Aves; Galliformes; Phasianidae
Source: RNAcentral